Molecule: ribosomal RNA, 252 nt
Filed under: uncultured bacterium
Lineage: Bacteria
Description: partial 16S ribosomal RNA
Rfam family: Bacterial small subunit ribosomal RNA
Source: RNAcentral
UACGUAGGGGGCAAGCGUUAUCCGGAAUCAUUGGGCGUAAAGCGCGUGUAGGCGGUUCCGUAAGUCCGCUCUGAAAGCCCAGGGCUCAACCCUGGGAGGCGGGUGGAUACUACGGAACUGGAGUACGGAAGAGGAGAUUGGAAUCCUGGUGUAGCGGUGAAAUGCGCAGAUAUCAGGAGGAACACCAACAGCGAAGGCAGAUCUCUGGGACGUUACUGACGCUGAGACGCGAAAGCGUGGGGAGCAAACAGG